GACGGAGGGUGCAAGCGUUGUUCGGAAUUACUGGGCGUAAAGCGUACGUAGGCGGCGGAUUAAGUCGAAUGUUAAAGCCUGGGGCUCAACCCCAGAGAUGCACUCGAUACUGGUUUGCUAGAGGGCGAUAGAGGAAAGCGGAAUUCCCAGUGUAGCGGUGAAAUGCGUAGAUAUUGGGAGGAACAUCAGUAGCGAAGGCGGCUUUCUGGGUCGCACCUGACGCUGAGGUACGAAAGCGUGGGGAGCAAACGGG
Molecule: ribosomal RNA, 253 nt
Filed under: uncultured bacterium
Lineage: Bacteria
Description: partial 16S ribosomal RNA
Rfam family: Bacterial small subunit ribosomal RNA
Source: RNAcentral